Long non-coding RNA from Polistes canadensis, 889 nucleotides. RefSeq lists it as uncharacterized. The record is from RefSeq and is a predicted model, not a curated record. Lineage: Eukaryota; Metazoa; Arthropoda; Insecta; Hymenoptera; Vespidae. The transcript has 3 exons.
GAGAGGCUUCGCGCGUGGCGUCUUUUCCGUGCCAAUGUCCCCCACCCCCCUCUUCCACCCUUCCUUCCCUCUCUAUCUUUCUCUCUUUUUCACUGUUUCACUUCUCAUCCAAGUCCAUGUACGGCUACUUGCUGUAUAAUUCAUUGUCGAGUCUCAUACACGUAGCGUCUUAUGGCAGAUACACAAUUACGUGCUCUGGCCCUGGUAACGUUAAAACGAGAGAAGGAUAACGACGACGACGACGACGACGACGAACACAUAGCACGAUGCGUUUUCCUUCAAGACAAUGUUGCUGCACACGCUGUCUUACCUUGGCGUAACUAGUUUUUAUCACCGAUGACGAACAAUGACGCGCUUAUCUUGUACUAUUGUAUUCACCGUAAAACACCGUACGUCUCUCUACCCCGGAAUAUACAUAUUCAAAAAAGUACACCAGAGGAUAGUUUAAACUUGUCUCGUUUGAAUUAUUCUCCUCGAUGUUGAAUCGUUUUCAAGUCUCCGUUCACGUAACGUUGACCAAAAUAAAUGAGGACUUUCACUUGACAAAAGAAUAAAUCUUAUCGAUUAUUGGGACGAUGAAGAAGGUAACGUUGAUAACCGUGUGCAAAGGGAACACUCGGAGGUGCGCUUUAUCUGGCUGGCAACAUGUAAUUAGAGAAGACGAAUUAUACGAGGUGUUGGAUUCUCCUUGGCUGUCAUCAAAAGAGAAAUGAACGGACCGCUGAACAGGUGCAACUGUUCACAUUGAAACAAGUUUCUCUGAACUUCUCUUCUUCUUGGUUUAUAUAGCAAGAUUAUUUCCUGUAAACUAUGCAACUAUAUUUCUUUUCGCUUCUAUUUAUUUAAUCAAUAUUUUUAAUAAUAAAUAAUCAGUAUAUAUGAUUCUUCU